UGUUCACAUAUCAUUCAUGUGAAUUUUAAUAGAAGCUACGUAGUCUAAUUUAAGUUUUUUUUUAUCCAUCAACACUCAUACAAAAACUCAUAAACAUUUUACCGACCAAGAACGUGCAGUUGUAAACAACGAACACAAAAGAAAAUACUUUGAAGGACUGUUUUUGUCUAUACAAUGAAAGUCAAUGGGGUCCAAAAAACAACAACACUGGUUUGAACACUGAGACAAUUUUCAAACAGAUGAAAGAGAUUCAUACAGGUUUGGAAGGACGAGGAGACACCAAGUUCCAUCGGGCUCAUGAGCUGAAUGGAGAUCAAACUGUGAAACAUGGCUUCCUCCACAGGCUGCUGCUGGUGCAGGGGCACUGGUCCUACUACCGCAUCUGCAUCCUUCUGUGCUAUUUCCUCUACAAAACCACUGCUUUUGCUCUAGUUCAUGUCUGGUAAAGUUUCUACAAUGGCUUCAGCGCUCCGGUAUAGAGCAACUAGGUCACUUAAUCCACUUUACACCCACCAACCCUAACCGCACUGAGAAAAUAUCUGCUAUUACAGUCAAACUGAGAUAUGUUUGAGAUGUACUGUAACAUGUUUGAGAAAAGUCAGAUUAUCCAUUAACAGUAAGUAAAAGAAGUUAAGAAUCAUCAAAGUGUGACAACUCAGUCAGGAUAAGUUUUAUGCAAUAAUGUCUGUUAUAAGCAAAUGUGUCUAGUUGUAAGUUUUAUGGACAUAAAGAUGAUUUUAUUUGA
Molecule: long non-coding RNA, 745 nt
Organism: Megalobrama amblycephala (Wuchang bream)
Lineage: Eukaryota; Metazoa; Chordata; Actinopteri; Cypriniformes; Xenocyprididae
Exons: 4
Source: RefSeq, a predicted model, not a curated record